RNAcentral lists this ribosomal RNA (305 nucleotides) under uncultured bacterium. RNAcentral's name for it is "bacterial SSU rRNA". It matches the Rfam family "Bacterial small subunit ribosomal RNA", at positions 337 to 635 of the family's 1533-position model. The record is from RNAcentral.
UCCUACGGGAGGCAGCAGUAGGGAAUUUUCGUCAAUGGGCGCAAGCCUGAACGAGCAAUGCCGCGUGAACGAGGAAGGUCUUCGGAUCGUAAAGUUCUGUUGAAGGGGAAAAAGAGCGGAGAGAGGAAAUGGUCUCCGAUUGAUAUUACCCUUCGAGGAAGUCACGGCUAACUACGUGCCAGCAGCCGCGGUAAUACGUAGGUGGCGAGCGUUAUCCGGAAUGAUUGGGCGUAAAGGGUGCGUAGGCGGCCUGCUAAGUCUGGAGUGAAAGGUACCGGCUCAACCGGUACAUGCUCUGGACACUG